AACAACCGUGAUUCCGGGAGUAGUGGCGAGCGAAACUGGAUGAGGCUAAACCGUAUACGUGUGAGACCCGGCAGGGGUUGCGUAUGCGGGGUUGUGGGAUCUCUCUUCUGUUGUCUGCCGGCAACAGGACGAGUCAGAAACCGUUGAUGUAGGCGAAGGACAUGCGAAAGGUCCGGCGUAGAGGGUAAGACCCCCGUAGUCGAAACAUCAGCGGCUCGUUUGAGAGACACCCAAGUAGCACGGGGCCCGAGAAAUCCCGUGUGAAUCUGGCGGGACCACCCGCUAAGCCUAAAUAUUCCCUGGUGACCGAUAGCGGAUAGUACCGUGA
This 328-nucleotide ribosomal RNA is filed under the name Streptomyces viridochromogenes. RNAcentral describes it as "bacterial LSU rRNA". It matches the Rfam family "Bacterial large subunit ribosomal RNA", at positions 224 to 506 of the family's 2925-position model. Lineage: Bacteria; Bacillati; Actinomycetota; Actinomycetes; Kitasatosporales; Streptomycetaceae. The record is from RNAcentral.